AUGGAUCGUUGCUGGACGGCUAAGCGCCGCGCUCGCCACGGAUUGCCUCACAAUCCCCUUUGCAAGCUAUGCGGCCAAGAGCUCAAGUCCCUGGAUCACCUGCUUGCCCGGUGCGUCUUCUCCCGGAUUACUUGGCACGAAAUCCUCUCCUGGUGCCGUCUACCAAUCCCUACACCGUGCUCCACCGGCGCCUUCUUCGACUGGUGA
RNAcentral lists this ribosomal RNA (207 nucleotides) under Triticum aestivum (bread wheat). RNAcentral describes it as "partial small subunit ribosomal RNA". The record is from RNAcentral. Lineage: Eukaryota; Viridiplantae; Streptophyta; Magnoliopsida; Poales; Poaceae.